UUUUUUUCAGUUAUUCCUCUCUUUUUUAAUCAUUUCCCCCCCAUGUCAACAUCGCGUUCGGUUCUUAAGGCGUUUGCUUCUUCCUCCAAGAACUCGUAUGCUUUCGGCCGAGAAAUAAAUGGUAAAAGAAAAACGUACCUGAAAGGCAAGCAAAGGUUGACAUUGUUUUGCACAAUAAAUUAGGAGAGGGAGGGGAAUAAGAUGGAGAUGCCCUCAGCGCAAUAGGUAGGAUAUAUUUUAGGGUACCUAAAUAAAUAUCAUAAGUUACUUUGAAUAAAUAGAACUCAGCAUAAUAUACAGUGGAAUUGCAUCAACUUCUCAAGGUAAAUCAGUGGGCGGUGUUGACACCAGGUUUGGGAGACCCUCAAAGCUCUCUGGGAACACAGAUUGUUGGCUUACGCCAGGUCCAUCUAACUCAAUAUUAUCUACACGGGCCGGCAGAAGCUCUCCAGAGUUUUGCUUUUCCCAACACUAAGUGGAGACCACGUGCUCUACAACUGAACUAUAGUCCUUCCCCCAGCACAUCUUUAGAUCGCAGGGAAAUAAUACAUUGCGACAGCAGCCCUUUCUUUCCAUGUUAAUACAUUUCUCAAUGAGCACCAGUAGUCAUCGAUGGCUUUUGAUGGCUGGUGGCGGCUAGCAAUGACACAGCUGCAGAUCUGGGACUGAAAGGAAAUGGUUCAGAAGUUGGAAUGUCGCCAGCAAAAUAUAUAAAAGAGGGAAGAUAGGGUGCAGCAAUAAUAUUGUAUAAAAAAAAAUACCACGGGAAAUGGGAUGGGAAGUUGAUAGAACCAACAAAAAUAAAUUAUUAUGUAUUGGAAUUUUAUGUGAAAUUUGUGGGAAUUUAAUGAAACUUGAAUGCCAGUGCCCAUCAGCUGGGGGGCUCAAAUAUUUUGUGGCAGCCAGCGAGGCAUAAUAAUAAUAAUAAUAAUAAUAAUAAUAAUAAUAAUAAUAUAUUUAUACCCUGCCCGUCUGGCUGGGUUUCCCCAGCCACUCUGUGAGGCUCCCAACACAAUAUUAAAAACACGUUAAAACAUCAAACAUUAAAAGCUUCCCUAAACAGGGCUGCCUUCAGAUGUCUUCUAAAAGUCAGAUAGUGGUUUAUUUCCUUGACAUCUGAUGGGAGGGCAUUCCACAGGGCGGGCGCUACCACUGAGAAAGCCCUCUGCCUGGUUCCCUAUAACCUCACUUCUCACAGGGAGGGAACCGCCAGAAGGCCCUCGGAGCUGGACCUCAGUGUCCAGGCUGAACGAUGGGGGUGGAGACGCUCCUUCAGGUAUACCGAGCUGUUUAGGGCUUGAAAGGUCAGCACUGAAACUUUGAAUUGUGCUCGGAAAUGUACUGGGAGCCAAUGUAGGUCUUUCAAGACUGGUGCUAUGUGGUCUCGGCAGCCGCCCCCAGUCACCAGUCUAGCUGCCGCAUUUUGGAUUAGCUGCAGUUUCCGGGUCACCUUCAAAGGCAGCCCCACGUAGAGUGCAUGGCAGUAGUCCAAGCGGGAGAUAACUAGAGGCAUAAUCCCCAAGAUAAGGGGAUCCAGCGGGGAGAAGUAUCUUUGAUAGUGCUUUGAUACCAUCUCCAGAACCAGGUGGCGAAGAGAUGGAUGGGGAAAGAAGCUGAUGGGGAAGUGGAGAGGCAAAACACCUCCCCCCCAUCCCAAAUAGUAAAGGUAAAGGGACCCCUGACCAUUAGGUCCAGUUGUGACCGACUCUGAGGUUGCGGCGCUCAUCUCACUUUAUUAGCCAAGGGAGCCGGCAUACAGCUUCCGGGUCAUGUGGCCAGCAUGACUGAGCCACUUCUGGCAAACCAGAGCAGCGCACAGAAACACCGUUUACCUUCCCGCCGGAGUGGUACCUAUUUAUCUACUUGCACUUUGAUGUGCUUUCGAACUGCUAGGUUGGCAGGAGCAGGGACCGAGCAACGGGAGCUCACCCCGUCGUGGGGAUUCAAACCACCAACCUUCUGAUCAGCAAGUCCUAGGCUCUGUGGCUUAACCCACAGCGCCACCCGCGUCCCGUUCCCAUCCCAAAUAUUUUCUCCAAAUUGGCCCUUCUCAAGAACAUUUUUCUGGAGAUGUCGUCCCGUUCGUGGAUGCAAUCCUGGCCUGUGGUUUGGACCUCUCAUUGCCCAACCGUGGAAGCACUCUGUGUGUUGAUGUCAUCUGGACGCUUCUGGGGCGGCCGAGCCAAAGCAAAGACAGAAACCUGGAAAGGGGCCUUCACUACAUGGCUACUCUCUCCCAAACAUCUGUAUCGGGGCUGUUAUUGAACGGAGGCCUUUCCUGGACAACAAUUAGCAAAACAAAACAGAAUAGAAUGUGGGUGGGGGACAAAAAGGAAAGAUGGCAAGAAUAAAAGGGAGUCUUUUGACGUACAGAUGUUUUUUCUACCCGCCUCGGAUCUCACUUCUGCCAACGCUUUGGAAAUUUUAACAUGGCGGAAAUGGUCCGUUUUCACGCAGAAGCACAGUCCUGGGUAAGGAAGAUCUUGUGAGAAAGGGGCAUCUUUAAGGAAAAACUGCUGUUGACUGGGAAAUGUCCUUCUGGCCGGCUGAAUGGAGAGACGGAUGGGAGGAACUCAGGGAGAGGGAGAGAGAAAGAGAGGCCCCUGAGCUAAACUGGUGCAGAAUGGAUGGAGAAGGAGGAGAAAUGGCCUGGAAAACAGCUACAGGAAUGAUCAAAGCACACUGGGAGAGCAAUUGCAAAAGCUCCCAGGUUCAAUGUAUUACAGUAUUUUAAUAAUUUUUUGGAAGCCGCCCAGAGUGGCUGGGGAAGCCCAGCCAGAUGGGCGGGGUAUAAAUAAUAAAUUAUUAUUAUUAUUCCAGUAGUGAUGUAUGAAAGUGAGAGCUGGACCAUCAAGAAGGCUGAUCGCCAAAGAAUGCAUGCUUUUGAAUUCUGGUGCUGGAGGAGACUCUUGAGAGUCCCAUGGACUGCAAGAAGAUCAAACCUCUCCAUUCUGGAGGAAAUCAGCCCUGAGUGCUCACUGGAAGGACAGAUCCUGAAGCUGAGGCUCCAAGACUUUGGCCACCUCAUGAGAAGAGAAGACUCCCUGGAAAAGACCCUGAUGAUGGGGAAGAUGGACGGCACAAGGAGAAGGGGACGACAGAGGACGAGAUGGUGGGACAGUGUUCUCGAAGCUAUCAGCAUGAGUUUGACCAAACUGCGGGAGGCAGUGGAAGACAGGAGUGCCUGGCAUGCUCUGGUCCAGGGGGUCCCGAAGAGGCGGACACAACUAAACGACUGAACAACAACAACAACAACAUUGUUAUUGUUGCUGCUGUUGUUGUUGUUGUUCAAGACCCAACAACCAUGGACAGAAUCUGAGCUAGAUGAACUGGUUAUUUGGUUCGGUAGUUAUGUCUUUGAGGGGGAAGACUGCAGCCCAGUGAGUUUGCAUGCAGAAGGUCCCAGGAUCAUAUCGCCGGCACCUGCAGGAAGGGUGGGGAGCAACCCCUAUCUGAAAUCCUGCACAGCUGCUGCCUGUUGGUUUGUUCUGGUCCAAACGGUCCAGGUUUGCAUCAGAAUGCACUUGUGCUCAGGGAUAACGCUCCCCCUUGUGUUUGAUGGCUCUUCAGCAGCGGACAUCGUGCAGCCCCCUAGUUCCCCCACAACCCUCCAUGCCUUAUUUUCAAUGCACACGGCAUGCACUCAUGCGCUAUUUGCGCUAACGUGUGCCUUUGCAUGCGUACGCAUUGGCACAUGCAUUUCUUGCGUGCUGCAAAACCGUGAGAGGUGCAAAUCUCAAAUGUGUUUCGGUUCUCGUGAAAGUGCAAAUUGGCUAAAGGGUGCCUUUAAAAUGCAGACUGAAUCGAACCUCUCUCCUGCCCCCCCUAAACCCAGACUGAGGAAGUUUCCACCACCCGGUCGCCGCAUCCACAGAUGCCAUGAGAUUUGACUGCAAUUCACGGCACUUAUAGCUUUGAGCAGGUAAAGGUAAAGGGACCCCUGACCGUUAGGUCCAGUCAUGGCCGACUCUGGGGUUGCAGUGCUCAUCUCGCUUUAUUGGCUGAGGAAGCCGGCAUCCAGCUUCCGGGUCAUGUGGCCAGCAUGACUAAGCCGCUUCUGGCGAACCAGAGCAGCGCACGGAAACGCCAUUUACCUUCCCACCAGAGCAGUGCUUAUUUAUCUACUUGCACUUUGACGUGCUUUCGAACUGCUAGUUUGGCAGGAGCAGGGACCGAGCAACGGGAACUCGCCCCGUGGUGGGGAUUCGAACCACCGACCUUCUGAUCGGCAAGUCCUAGGCUCAGUGGUUUAACCCACAGUGCCACCCGCGCCCCUCAUCCAGCGUCCCUAGCUUUGAGCAAGGACUCUCUUAUUUCCAAACUGGUUUUCAGAGCAGCGUUGGACAAAGAGCUCCGCGAUAGCAGGCAACGUUUCACAGCAAUGUCACCGUUGUUUACUCUGGAAGGAUAUAAAUGAGCCCUCGGACUUCUGCCUUGGCCAAGCCAACUUCAUUUGUCUCCUGAAAAAGCAUUUCUCUCCCCCCCCCUCUUUCUUGGCCGCCUUCCCGGGCCAAGGAAAUGCUAAACAGAAGGACUAACCGUAAAGUCCUGCCGCCCUUUGCAGGCGGGAGCAAAGAACGUGGAAUGCAAGCCAGCCCUACAGAUCAGGGCAGCUGCCCGCUGUCCAGCCAGGGCAGACAACUAGGGCAAAACGCAUGCCGCGAAGCAGAACAAAGGUUCCUAUUUGUGAUGAGAUGGGCACUUCCUUCCACACAAGCAACAAUUCCUCGCUGACCUGCAAAUGAAUCAGGCCUGAGUCUCUAAGACUGGUGCAACUGCCUCAAUCCCAGCCUUGCCAGCAAAAGUGAGGCUGGCAACAAAGGAUGAAUAGCUGCUGCUCUCUCACAAGAGACCAGGGCCGUGCGGGAUUUUGACAUCUUUCCGCAGGGCCUGCAAGACGGAGCUGUUCCGCCAGGCCUUUGGUCAGGGUUCAGUCUGAUUCUUCUUUUUCCUAGCCCGCUCACAGGUCCUUUAUAAGACCAGUGGUAACAUUUGGCCCUGGAGAAUAUUAACCACUCUCAAUUUUACCCGUGGACUGCCAUCUGUCCAGAUUUUAAUUUGCUCUGAACUAAUUUUAAGAUGUAUUCUAAUUAAUCGAUUGCCUGUUUUUAUGUUCUUAUGUUCUUUGUAUACUGUGUUAGUUUUAUGUUAGCCGCCCUGAACCUGGCAAUGGCCGGGGAGGUAAAGGUAAAGGGACCCCUGACCAUUAGGUUCAGUCGUGACCGACUCUGGGGUUGCGGCGCUCAUCUCGCUUUAUUGGCCGAGGGAGCCGACGUACAGCUUCCGGGUCAUGUGGCCAGCAUGGCUAAACUGCUUCUGGCGAUCCAGAGCAGCGCACGGAAAUGCCAUUUACCUUACCGCCAGAGUGGUACCUAUUUAUCUACUUGCACUUUGACGUGCUUUCAAACUGCUAGGUUGGCAGGAGCAGGGACCGAGCAACGGGAGCUCACGCCGUCAUUGCGGGGAUUCGAACCGCCAACCUUCUGAUCGGCAAGUCCUAGGAUCUGUGGUUUAACCCACAGCGCCACCCGUGUCCCUUUUGCCAGAAGUAUGGAUGGGCAUCUAUGUCCCGGUUUCUGAUUAUUAUUUUUCCCAAUCUUAAGUUCGGUUCCAUCACAUUUCCGCACUAGUUUGCAAUUUUUCUUGGGGGAAAGUUCUCAUGAAAAUUGAUGAGCAUUUUAUUACGAAUUUGACACUCCCCCCCCCCAUAUAUGUACCUCGUGCAAUGGAUUUUUGUACGUCAUAUGCAUAUGUAUGCACAUUUAACCCUAGGAUAUGUAUAUUCAUUUGCAGUUUAAUCGACUGGAGAACUGCAUUGCAAAAUUCGGAGAAGUGCAAACGUCAAAGGAUGGCUGUUUUGGCUCCCAUAUUGUUUCGGGGACGUGUGAAUCCAGUAUACCUGAAGGAGCGUCUCCACCCCUAUCAUACAGCCCGGACACUGAGGUCCAGCUCCAAGGGCCUUCUGGCGGUUCCCUCCCUGCGAGAAGUGAGGUUACAGGGAACCAGGCAGAGGGCCUUCUCAGUGGUGGCGCCCAC
Podarcis lilfordi (Lilford's wall lizard) is the source of this 6036-nucleotide non-coding RNA. Lineage: Eukaryota; Metazoa; Chordata; Lepidosauria; Squamata; Lacertidae. The record is from the annotation of a GenBank genome assembly.